RNAcentral lists this ribosomal RNA (1527 nucleotides) under metagenome. Its description in RNAcentral is "bacterial SSU rRNA". It matches the Rfam family "Bacterial small subunit ribosomal RNA". The record is from RNAcentral.
AGAGUUUGAUUCUGGCUCAGAACGAACGCUGGCGGCGUGGAUAAGACAUGCAAGUUGAACGAUUACUACCUGGUAGCAAUAUUGAGUAGUGAGAGUGGCGUAAGGGUGCGUAACACGUGGGCAACUUACCGUGAAGCUGGGGAUAACUCCGAGAAAUCGGAGCUAAUACCGGAUGUGGUUUUCGGGAGGCAUCUCCUGAUAAUUAAAGCUGGGGACCGCAAGGCCUGGCACUUUACGAUAGGCCCGCGGCCUAUCAGCUAGUUGGUAAGGUAACGGCUUACCAAGGCAACGACGGGUAGCUGGUCUGAGAGGACGACCAGCCACACUGGAACUGAGACACGGUCCAGACACCUACGGGUGGCAGCAGUCGAGAAUUUUUCUCAAUGGGCGAAAGCCUGAAGGAGCGACGCCGCGUGGGGGAUGACGGGCUUAGGCUUGUAAACCCCUGUCAUUCGCGAGCAAACCUUUUUACCUAAUACGUGAAAAGCUGAUAGUAGCGAAAGAGGAAGGGACGGCUAACUCUGUGCCAGCAGCCGCGGUAAUACAGAGGUCCCAAGCGUUGUUCGGAUUCACUGGGCGUAAAGGGUGCGUAGGUGGUAGGGUAAGUUUGGUGUGAAAUCUUCGAGCUCAACUCGGAAACUGCAUUAAAAACUGCCUUGCUAGAGGAUCGGAGGGGAGACUGGAAUUCUCGGUGUAGCAGUGAAAUGCGUAGAUAUCGAGAGGAACACCAGUGGCGAAAGCGAGUCUCUGGACGAUUCCUGACACUGAGGCACGAAAGCUAGGGGAGCAAACAGGAUUAGAUACCCUGGUAGUCCUAGCCGUAAACGGCGCACAUUUGCCGUGAGGGGAAUCGACCCCUUUCGUGGCGAAGCUAACGCGUUAAAUGUGCCGCCUGGGAAGUACGGCCGCAAGGCUAAAACUCAAAGAAAUUGACGGGGGCCUGCACAAGCGGUGGAGUAUGUGGCUUAAUUCGAUUCAACGCGAAGAACCUUACCUGGCCUUGACAUGCAAGUAGUAGAAACCUGAAAGGGUAACGACCCCGCAAGGGGAGCUUGCACAGGUGCUGCAUGGCUGUCGUCAGCUCGUGUCGUGAGAUGUUGGGUUAAGUCCCGCAACGAGCGCAACCCUUGUGUCUUGUUGCCACUUUCGCGAGAGCGAAAAGCACUCUGGACAGACUGCCUCGUUUCAACGAGGAGGAAGGUGGGGACGACGUCAAGUCAGGAUGGCCCUUACGGCCAGGGCUGCACACGUACUACAAUGCCUAGUACAAAGGGAAGCAAGACCGCAAGGUGGAGCAAAUCCCAUAAAAUUAGGCUCAGUUCAGAUUGUCGGCUGCAAUUCGCCGGCAUGAAGCUGGAAUCGCUAGUAAUGGCGCAUCAGCUACGGCGCCGUGAAUACGUUCCCAGGCCUUGUACACACCGCCCGUCACAUCAUGAAAGCUGUUUGUACCCGAAGUCCAUGUGUUAACCGCAAGGAAAUAGUGGCCGAAGGUAUGAAUGGUGAUUGGGAUGAAGUCGUAACAAGGUA